UUUACUUUAGAGUAAAACUCGCUUUUGUGUUUAAUAUCAAUAUUCCUGUUAGAAGAUAAGGAACCAAAAGUCUGUAAUGCCUUCAAUUCGUUAGGCUUUCAUUGAUGGAAUUUUGUGUGGUUUCAAUUUGGAGGCAUGCUUAAUUAUGAACAUGCUCACUCUAUGUCAGUUUCUUUCCUUCUUAUUGCUAGUUCUGCCCUUGUUCCUUUUCAAUUUGUCAGCUCUCCUGUAUCCCUGAAUUCCCAUUUUCAUCCAAUCUUUAUUUUGUUCUUUACCCCUAUGAUGUACCAUGAUCUAAGAUCUUUUUACUUGCCAUCUCAUUAUAUCUGCAAUUAAUCUCUCUCAAUUCGUUUCCUGCCAAGCCAAAUUUCAGUACUAUAUCAAAAUGAAUAAUGUUUGUGUUUUCCCAUCAUUGGAAAUCCUCAAGUGAUCUUAUCUCACUGCAAGACACAUGGGGAUCUAUUAUCUAAUUUUCUUUUGUCUAUAGCAUCUCCACUUUAGUUUAUAUCAGUUGUUUUUCAUUUUCAAAAGUUUCCCUAUAUUGUUAUUGUGGGAAAACUUGAAAGGUUACUUUUUAUUUUAAUUGUGGGCAGAUAUUUAAAUUUUUGUUUUGACUUCGAUUUUUUUUCUCCUUGCAGCUGUUGUUAACAAUAUUUUAAGAA
This 662-nucleotide unclassified non-coding RNA is filed under the name Hevea brasiliensis (rubber tree). The record is from RNAcentral. Lineage: Eukaryota; Viridiplantae; Streptophyta; Magnoliopsida; Malpighiales; Euphorbiaceae.